UCUUUAUAUUCCAUUAGGUACUCUAGUAUGUUAUUGAAAAGGCACCACCACUGGGGAAACCUCAACUCAAAUCUCUACCCAGGUUCUACUUUGAACUGUUUUCUAAGCAUACGUAACAACACCAUUAAAAGAGUCUCCUGAGGAGCUCUCGCCUUCCCUGAAACUCAGAUAAAUGUAAUUACCUCUCGUGGUAGAUCACAAGAAGGAGGAUAAAUACAUAUAAUAGGAAAGACAUCAUAAAAGAUGAAGAAAGCCACUGACCAGCUGUUACGUGUAUGAAGAUGGGGCUAAAUCUUGAGCAAUGAAAUCCACAGCAUGUGUGGACCUAGGAAUUGUUUCGAACAUGUGCAGUGCAUGAACUUCCUGGAUAGAAGGUAGCAGUGUGUGAGCUUUUAGAGAGACAACUCUUGGUAACGAAAAGCUCCCAGACCAGUUAUACUCAGGGAGCGAGAUUUUAACUUCUUAGCAUUGAGAGACUCCACUUCCUCACUGGUGGCUGGCAAGAUGGUCAAAUAGGAACAGCUUCAGUCAGGAGCAGCUCCGUUUUGCAGCUCCCGGCGAGAUCAACGAAGAAGGGUGAUUUCUGCAUUUCCAACUGAGGUACCCGGCUCAUCUCUCCGGGACUGGUUAGAUAGUGGGUGUGAACCAUGGAGGACGAGCCGAAGCAGGGUGGGGCGUCACCUCACUGUGGAAGCACGAAGGGUUGGGGAACUCACUCCCCUAGCCAAUGGAAGCCAUGAGGGACUGUGCUGUGAGGAAGGGUGCACUCUGGCCCAGAUACUAGUUUUUCCCACGGCUUUCGCAACUCGCAGACCAGGAGAUUCCCUUGGGUGCCUACACCACCAGGGCCCUGGGUUUCAGCACAAAACUGGGCAUGUUAGGGCAGACACCGAGGUAGCCACAGGAGUUUUGUUCUUCAUACCCCAGUGGCACCUGGAAUGCUUGCAAAUUGGUGGCCGUAGCAAUUUCUGUUUUCAGUGGCUGUUAUAAAAAUUACAUGAGAAAGUAGGCAAAGUACUAAGUAGGGUACCUGUCCUAUAAAUGUUAGCUUCAACUCUUAUACCUCCUCAUCUAUUACUGUUAAAUUUGUUAUUUAUUACUAUUGAAACACCAAUGAAGAAAUACUGUUAUUGCAAAAAGUAUUUGAGAAACUGACUUAAAAAAAUUGGGAAGAGAAUUGCCACUUUUUUAAAAGGUAAGUUUAGGUGAAAAGGCAUUUGGAAUGAGUUCAGUAAAUGUGGUGAAAUAAAGACAACUGAACAGAUAAGACACAAUUAGACCAUGUCAAAAUGGCUAACACUCAUAUAACCCCAAUUCACCUUUUUGAAAAUAUAAAUAACAGCUUCUCUCGCCAGGCGUCCCCGUGGAAGGACAUUGUCUUUAAACUCUGGCAAUCCCUGACGCACUGCUGUGCUGCCCAGGGAAAACAGGGCGACCCGGAAGUCCAACUACUUCCUUAAGAUCAUCCAACUAUUGGAUGAUUAUCCGAAAUGCUUCAUUGUGUAGCAGGCAAUGUGGGCUCCCAGCAGAUGCAGCAGAUCCGCAUGUCCCGCCGCAGGAAGGCCAUGGUUCUGAUGGGAAGAACACCAUGAUGUGUGAGGUCAUCCGAGGGCACCUGGAAAACAACCCAGCUCUGGAGAAACUGCUGCCUCUUAUCUGGGGGAAUGUGGGCUUUGUGUUCACCGAGAUCAGGGACAUGCUGCUGAGGGACAUUACUGAGAUCAGGGACAUGCUGCUGACCAAUAAGGCAGCAGCCUAUGUGAAGUCACUGUGCCAGCCCAGAACACUGGUCUGGGGCCCGAGAAGACCUCCUUUUUCCAGGCUUUAGGUAUCACCACUAAAAUCUCCAGGGCCAUCGUUAAAAUCCUGAGCGAUGUGCAGCUGAUCAAGACUGGAGACAAAGUGGGAGCCAGUGAAGCCACGCUGCUGAACAUGCUCAACAUCUCUCCCUUCUCCUUUGGGCUGGUCACCCAGCAGGUGUUCGACAAUGGCAGCAUCUACAACCCUGAAGGGCUUGACAUCACAGAGGAAACUCUGCACUCUCACUUCCUGAAGGGCGUCCGCAAUGUUGCCAGUGUCUGUCUGCAGAUUGGCUACCCAGCUGUUGCAUCAGUACCCCAUUCUAUCAUCAACAGAUACAAACGAGUCCUGGCCUUGUCUGUGGAGACUGAUUACACCUUCCCAGUUGCUGAAAAGGUCAAGGCCUUCUUGGCUGAUCCAUCUGCCUUUUCCGUGGCUGCCCCUGUGGCUGCUGCCACUACGGCUGUGCCUGCUGCUGCUGCAACCCCAGCUAAGGUUGAAGCCAAGGAAAAGUCGGAGUCGGACGAGGAUAUGGGAUUUGGUCUCUUUGACUAAUCACCAAAAAGCAACCACCUUAGCCAGCUUUAUGUGCAAAACAAGGAAAUAA
Long non-coding RNA from Callithrix jacchus (white-tufted-ear marmoset), 2407 nucleotides. RefSeq lists it as uncharacterized. The record is from RefSeq and is a predicted model, not a curated record. NCBI's taxonomy places the organism in Eukaryota, Metazoa, Chordata, Mammalia, Primates, Cebidae.